This 433-nucleotide ribosomal RNA is filed under the name Panesthia sinuata. RNAcentral's name for it is "partial 16S ribosomal RNA". Lineage: Eukaryota; Metazoa; Arthropoda; Insecta; Blattodea; Blaberidae. The record is from RNAcentral.
CUCUUCUUGUAUUUUAAUAUGAGGUAUAACCUGCUCAAUGAAUAUUUAAAUGGCCGCGGUAUACUGACCGUGCAAAGGUAGCAUAAUCAUUAGUCCUUUAAUUGUGGGCUGGAAUGAAUGGUUGGACGAGAUAAUAACUUUCUUAUAUUUAUUUAUUUGAAUUUAAUUAUUGUGUUAAAAAGCUCAAAUUUUUUUUUGGGACGAGAAGACCCUAUAGAGUUUAAUAUUUAAUAUAUUUUUAAAUGUUUGAUAUAUUGUGAAUUAAAUUAAGUAUUUUGUUGGGGUGAUGUAAAGAUAUAAUUAACUCUUUAUAAUUAAUUGUUUAUUAAUUAAUAUUUUUUUGAUCCAUUUUUAGUGAUUGAAAGUCUAAAUUACCUUAGGGAUAACAGCGUAAUUUUUUUUGAGAGUUCUUAUCAACAAAUAAGGAUUGCGA